RNAcentral lists this ribosomal RNA (200 nucleotides) under uncultured bacterium. RNAcentral's name for it is "partial 16S ribosomal RNA". It matches the Rfam family "Bacterial small subunit ribosomal RNA", at positions 310 to 502 of the family's 1533-position model. The record is from RNAcentral. RNAcentral also lists the same sequence under 1 other name.
ACACCGGGACUGAGACACGGCCCGGACUCCUACGGGAGGCAGCAGUGGGGAAUAUUGGACAAUGGGGGAAACCCUGAUCCAGCCAUGCCGCGUGUGUGAAGAAGGCCUUUUGGUUGUAAAGCACUUUAAGCAGUGAAGAAGACUCUUCGGUUAAUACCCGGAGACGAUGACAUUAGCUGCAGAAUAAGCACCGGCUAACU